CCUACGGGAGGCAGCAGUGGGGAAUAUUUCACAAUGGGGGAAACCCUGAUGCAGCGACGCCGCGUGAGUGAAGAAGUAUUUCGGUAUGUAAAGCUCUAUCAGCAGGGAAGCAAAUGACGGUACCUGACUAAGAAGCCCCGGCUAACUACGUGCCAGCAGCCGCGGUAAUACGUAGGGGGCAAGCGUUAUCCGGAUUUACGGGGUGUAAAGGGAGCGUAGACGGCAGCGCAAGUCUGAAGUGAAAUGCCAGGGCUUAACCCUGGAACUGCUUUGGAAACUGUGCAGCUAGAGUGCAGGAGAGGUAAGCGGAAUUCCUGGUGUAGCGGUGAAAUGCGUAGAUAUUAGGAGGAACACCAGUGGCGAAGGCGGCUUACUGGACUGUAACUGACGUUGAGGCUCGAAAGCGUGGGGAGCAAACAGGAUUAGAUACCCGUGUAGUC
RNAcentral lists this ribosomal RNA (440 nucleotides) under uncultured bacterium. RNAcentral describes it as "partial 16S ribosomal RNA". It matches the Rfam family "Bacterial small subunit ribosomal RNA", at positions 338 to 795 of the family's 1533-position model. The record is from RNAcentral.